UGCCAGCAGCCGCGGUAAUACAGAGGGUGCGAGCGUUAAUCGGAAUGACUGGGCGUAAAGGGCGAGUAGGUGGAUAGUCAAGUUAGAUGUGAAAGCCCUAGGCUUAACCUAGGAAUGCCAUUUAAAACUGACUGUCUAGAGUUUGGGAGAGGGAAGAGGAAUUUCCGGUGUAGCGGUGAAAUGCGUAGAUAUCGGAAGGAACACCAGUGGCGAAGGCGACUUCCUGGCCCAAAACUGACACUGAGUCGCGAAAGCGUGGGGAGCAAACAGGAUUAGAUA
RNAcentral lists this ribosomal RNA (279 nucleotides) under uncultured bacterium. RNAcentral describes it as "partial 16S ribosomal RNA". It matches the Rfam family "Bacterial small subunit ribosomal RNA", at positions 506 to 784 of the family's 1533-position model. The record is from RNAcentral.